CUAUUUUUGAUUCCAGGGUCUUGGACAACAUAUCAGACACUAUUGUUGCAGUUAGUACAGUUAAUGGAUCUCAUUGCUUGGAUAUACUCUUUGCAAAGGAAAGUGAUCCAGAGUGGUUGGUCAUGCAGCGAAAGGUUGAGGUUAGGAUCGUCGAACAAUGGAUCAGCGAGUACUAUGCUGAUCUUCUCGCCUACAAGAAAUAAAUUGAAGUCACACCAAAGAUGAAAGAAGCAAUAAAUGUUGUGCAGAUCAAAACCUUCAUAUGUGUGCAUGCGUCUAUGUAUUGCAAUAAAACAUUAUGUAAUCCGUUCCAUAAUUUUUUUUUUUUUUAGACAAAAAAAA
Long non-coding RNA from Quercus lobata, 342 nucleotides. RefSeq lists it as uncharacterized. Lineage: Eukaryota; Viridiplantae; Streptophyta; Magnoliopsida; Fagales; Fagaceae. The record is from RefSeq and is a predicted model, not a curated record. The transcript has 2 exons.